This 334-nucleotide unclassified non-coding RNA is filed under the name soil metagenome. RNAcentral describes it as "partial contains 5.8S ribosomal RNA, internal transcribed spacer 2, and large subunit ribosomal RNA". The stretch from base 1 to 120 matches the Rfam family "5.8S ribosomal RNA", at positions 35 to 154 of the family's 154-position model. The record is from RNAcentral.
GAUGAAGAACGCAGCGAAAUGCGAUAAGUAAUGUGAAUUGCAGAAUUCAGUGAAUCAUCGAAUCUUUGAACGCACAUUGCGCCCGCUAGUAUUCUAGCGGGCAUGCCUGUUCGAGCGUCAUUUCAACCAUCAAGCCCCAGGCUUGUGUUGGAGCCUGCGGCCGUCCGCAGCCUCCUAAAAUCAGUGGCGGGCUCGCUAUCACACCGAGUGCAGUAGUUUACUCUUCGCUCAGGACGUGUAGCGGGUUCCGGCCGUGAAACCCCCCAAUUUUCAAGGUUGACCUCGGAUCAGGUAGGAAUACCCGCUGAACUUAAGCAUAUCAAUAAGCGGAGGA